RNAcentral lists this ribosomal RNA (264 nucleotides) under uncultured bacterium. RNAcentral describes it as "partial 16S ribosomal RNA". It matches the Rfam family "Bacterial small subunit ribosomal RNA", at positions 28 to 290 of the family's 1533-position model. The record is from RNAcentral.
GACGAACGCUGGCGGCGUGCUUAACACAUGCAAGUCGAGCGGUAAGGCCCCUUCGGGGGUACGACGAGCGGCGAACGGGUGAGUAACACGUGGGUGACCUGCCCUCAGCUCUGGGAGUAAGCCUGGGAAGCCGGGUCGUAAUACUGGAUAUGACUCCAUGACGCAUGUUGUGGGGUGGAAAGCCUUGUGCGGCUGAGGAUGGGCCCGCGGCCUAUCAGCUUGUUGGUGGGGUGAUGGCCUACCAAGGCGACGACGGGUAGCCGG